This 253-nucleotide ribosomal RNA is filed under the name uncultured bacterium. Its description in RNAcentral is "partial 16S ribosomal RNA". It matches the Rfam family "Bacterial small subunit ribosomal RNA", at positions 524 to 776 of the family's 1533-position model. The record is from RNAcentral.
UACAGAGGUCUCAAGCGUUGUUCGGAUUCAUUGGGCGUAAAGGGUGCGUAGGUGGCGGGGUAAGUCAGGUGUGAAAUCUCGAGGCUCAACCUUGAAACUGCACUUGAUACUGCCUUGCUCGAGUACUGGAGAGGAGAUUGGAAUUUACGGUGUAGCAGUGAAAUGCGUAGAUAUCGUAAGGAAGACCAGUGGCGAAGGCGAAUCUCUGGACAGUUACUGACACUGAGGCACGAAGGCCAGGGGAGCAAACGGG